Molecule: small nucleolar RNA, 78 nt
Organism: Nycticebus coucang (slow loris)
Lineage: Eukaryota; Metazoa; Chordata; Mammalia; Primates; Lorisidae
Product: small nucleolar RNA SNORD113/SNORD114 family
Exons: 1
Source: RefSeq, a predicted model, not a curated record
UGGACCACUGAUGAUGAAAACUGCCGGCGUUUGAGUCUUGGAUGAUGAAUAAUAUGUGUCUGGAACUCUGAGGUCCAA